GGAUGCUCUGGAGAACAUCUUACCCACCAUUCAAUUUAAACGUCAUUUAAGAGCCCGGCCUCCUGAUGAGUUGCUUAGAUUUCCAAAUCAUGAUAUUCCCUUGUCAUUAAAAACACAGCUGGAGACCAGCUUCCAGACCUAAUGCAAAUGAUAAUAUCUUUUAGUAACUCAAAAUAAAAAUGCUUGGGUCAUGAUACCUGGCAUUUUGUGGUAACCCUUCCCUGAAGGCCUGCAAACAUCAAUCUAUCUCUUGGCUGUAGGUGUUACUGUGACAUGGAUCUGAAAAUAACACACUGGGAUGUGAUCUUAAGCUAAUCUGUCAUCACUGGGUGCAUAAGCAGCCUAAAGUCUUUGCAGAAAUAUUGUGUUAUCCUUCUCAUGGUGCUGCUGACUCUUUGAACCACACCAGCAAAACGUGGCUUUUCAAAAUGAGGAAGAUUACAUCUGCUUGCCAUGCGAGAGGUAUUCUUCCAUGCCCUGCGACAUCAUAAAACAGAGCAUCAGGACAGGAACUUGGGUCUCGUUAUCACAGUAUCAGACCACUUCCUAUGCUGGAGCAUUGUGAUCCUUCUGACAUCCCUGCAGCAGGACGUGGAGACCUCAGGCACCAGGAGCAGAGUGCUUUCAGUGGGUCACCCCACAGCAGCAACUAAACAUCUUGUUCCAGUGCUGAGAGAGGAAUCUGGCCCUGCGGACAUUCACCUGUGACUUUUCUCAUUGUCUUUAUUUUUCUUGAUGCAAACUGACAUACAGACCGAGCCCUACCAUCUGUGUUACAACGGUUGGAGGCCCAAGGUUGGCUGUGUUUUGGUACCAAGUCCUUCCACCGUUGGUGUCCACAUAUUAAAGGUAAUGUCUUUUAGUGUAUGCUCAUAAGAAAGUUUGGUUCUGUUUGCUACAACUGAUGAUAACUGUGCCUUCUUUUUUAAGAACUGCAGCCCUCAAAAAGACAGUUUUUUAAUGUCUGCCACACAUCCGUGCCUCAGCUUUGCUGGCGUGAAACCAGGAAAGACGGCACAUUUCAUUUCCUGUUAUCUCCAAUCAGUGCAGGGAGCUCACACCGCUGCUCACUUCAGCUUUGCUGAGAUGUGGACAUUUUGGCUUUUUGGGGAGUCCACACUUAUGGUGCGCGAUCAGUGCAGUUUAAGGCGUAAAGGCGCAAAGUGAGGGCCGUGACAGCUUGAAGGAUUGCGUGGGCUCCACCAGCCAGACCCUAUCUGAGCACAAAUUAAAAAAAAAAUAGUGUUGACAGACAACUUUCAGAAGUUGCUUUGUCGAGCGUCAGCUUCACUUCACAGCACAUUGUCACAUGCCAGCGCUGACACUUGUGGCAUGCCUUGCUGGCACAGUGUGGCAUGUCUUUCGUGCUGGUGUCUUUUUCUGCAUUUCUUUCCCACUAAAUUCCUGAUUUACAACCUGCAGUCAUCAGGCUUUGCUCUUGUUGUAUAGGUGAAAGGAGCCUUGUUGCAUAGCAUGUACUAGAAGAGCAGUGCAGCCAGCACAAUUAAAGAACAGUCAAGAAUGGAGCAUAUGAACCCCUAAAUGUAAUGAUAUUUCUGUGCUAUGAAGUGCUUUCUGCUGCCGGGCUUCUAAUAUCCCAGUUCUUCCAUUCAUUCAGAAAUCGUGGCAGUAUCUGUUACUCUGAGAGCAAAGACUUAGCAGAGUUAACAGCUGCUGGAGGCCAGGUGAGACGAACACAGCUUAUGUU
Molecule: long non-coding RNA, 1708 nt
Filed under: Numida meleagris (helmeted guineafowl)
Lineage: Eukaryota; Metazoa; Chordata; Aves; Galliformes; Numididae
Description: lncRNA (ENSNMEG00000005754.1)
Source: RNAcentral